Camelus dromedarius (Arabian camel) is the source of this 1535-nucleotide long non-coding RNA. RefSeq lists it as uncharacterized. The transcript is spliced from 3 exons. NCBI's taxonomy places the organism in Eukaryota, Metazoa, Chordata, Mammalia, Artiodactyla, Camelidae. The record is from RefSeq and is a predicted model, not a curated record.
CUAACACUGACUGGCCACAGAAGAUGGUCCAUAAACAUGUGGAACAUUCUUCAUCUUUCCGCUGAUUAUUUUAAAAAAUCAGUUUGUCUACUUGUCCAGCUUUUAAGCAUCCAUAAUGAGUUUUUCAUAAUUUCCAGCUGUUUUUUUAAGCUGGCUAAUGAUGGUCAGAAGGGUAGCCUUCCGGUCUGACAUUCCUUUCUAGAGAUGCUACUCUCUAGUCAGUGUUAAACAAUAAGCCAGUGUCCCCAUUCCGCCAGGUACACUGCUAAUGAGUAACAGAACCACGAUAUACAAGAUCCCCUGAACUUGGGAUGCUUGAAAAAAGGACAAGUGAUGGCUAGGGGUGGAAUUUUUGUGGACAGUAUUUAUGUCAUUAGGUAUAUCCUCAAACUCACGAGAGAGGUGACUGUAGAACAGCCACUAAAAAGAAUGAAAGAGCUAGCUCACGGGAGGAAGUGAUCUGGAAGAAAAGGAGCCCAUUAUAUUCCUAACUAUCUGGGAUUGUGCCCUUGGAAUUAAAGGGAAAUGCAACUUUCUACAGAGGGCACUCUGUGUGAAUCCAUGUUUUGUAGCACCCAUCAUGCUACCAAAGGACAUUUUAUUUGUGUAGCAUUUAGGAAGAAAAGAUUGACUCAAAAAUUGAAGGAGGUACUGCAUCAAUGGAGCCAGCAGUCACUGCCCAUUCAGGAGAUUCAGCAAAGUUUCUGGAAACAGGUCAGCCAAAGGGCACUCGGUUUUCCCCAAGCUGCCAUCCCCAGUUACAACACCUGUGAGCUUCAAAGCCCAUCUUGCAGGUCCUCGUCUAUACUGACCUUGCCAGGAGAGGUCAAAAACAGGGAACAUGGGUCCUAUUUCAGAGGUCAGUUUUUUUAAGGCAAGUGGCAGGAAGACCUUUAGAUGUGAAUGGGCAGAAACAGGAAGAGAACUGAGGAUUCCUGGUUCCAAGUUCAGAUACUCCGCUUCCCUUUGAAUACAAGGGCUCCAGGAAGAAAGGGCGUUUUUGCCCCCACUGUUGUGGGAAAGGAUGGAGAUGUCAGGGCUCCUGGCUGACUCAUUAGUACCUAGUCUUCCCUUUCAACCCUCAUGCAGCCUCUAGAGGCCCCAUUCCCCAUGCAGCCUGACCACUCAUAUCAGCCCUCACGAGCUCAGAAAAAGGAGAGAUGUGGGCACUAAGGAAAGAAAUAGCAGAACGGAAUAAAGGGGAAAGAUAUCAUUCUGCUGCGUCCUUGCCCACUCCCUCCUCAGCAUAUGGAACGCAAUGCUCCUGUGAGGACCAGCAGGAACACAUCAUACAAAAGCCCGAGGACCAGAGAAGCAGCUGGAAUAUUCAUUCAGGGGACAGAAUGAAGAGGCAGAAAGCUCCAACUUCAGAUCCCACAGGUGGAGACAGCUCCGAGGAAACGAAAGCUGAACCGAGCCAGAUGACUCUGAAGAAAGACAAAUGGGAUGAUAAGACAGAUACUGUUUUCCAAGUUUCUUCAACUACCAUUUCUUGGAGCUCCUUGCCAGGCUUUCUCGGUUGCGCUCUCUUCCUG